AGGGCACAGGGCGGAUGCCUUGGCACUAAGAGCCGAUGAAAGACGUGAUAAGCUGCGAAAAGCUUCGGGGAGGAGCACAUAUCCAAUGAUCCGGAGAUAUCUGAAUGGGGAAACCCGGCAGAGGAAACCUCUGUCAGCGUGCAGUGAAUACAUAGCUGUACGUGGGGAACCCGGGGAACUGAAACAUCUAAGUACCCGGAGGAAGAGAAAGAAAAUUUAUCGAUUUCCAAAGUAGCGGCGAGCGAAAUGGAAAGAGCCCAAACCGUGAUGCGUGCAUCGCGGGGUUCGGACUGCGUUGUGGCAGACGUAAGAUAGGAGAACGGACUGGGAAGUCCGGCCGGAGAGAGUGAAAGCCUCGUAUCCGAAAUCCCAAGUCGCCUAGCAGGAUCCAGAGUAGGACGAGACACGAGAAACCUUGUCUGAACGAGCGGGGACCACCCCGUAAGGCUAAAUACUUCUUAGUGACCGAUAGCGCAUAGUACUGUGAAGGAAAGGUGAAAAGUACCCCGGGAGGGGAGUGAAAGAGAACCUGAAACCCUGUGUCUACAAGCUGUGGGACCUCUUUAUAUGAGGGACUGCGUACUUUUUGUAGAACGGUCCGGCGAGUUGUGCGUACUGGCGAGGUUAAGGACUUAAGGUCUGGAGCCGAAGUGAAAGCAAGCGUUAAUAGCGCGUCAAGUCAGUGAGUGCAGACCCGAAACCGGGUGACCUAUCCAUGUCCAGGUUGAAGCUUCCGUAAGAGGAAGUGGAGGACCGAACCCACAUCCGUUGAAAAGGGUGGGGAUGAGGUGUGGAUAGCGGAGAAAUUCCAAUCGAACCCGGAGAUAGCUGGUUCUCCUCGAAAUAGCUUUAGGGCUAGCCUCAUGGAUCAUUGAUGGGGGUAGAGCACUGAAUGUGCGCGGGGGCCACAAAGCCUACCAAACGCUAUCAAACUUCGAAUACCAUACAAUGCAGACCAUGGGAGUCAGUCCGCGAGAGAUAAGUUCCGCGGGCAAAAGGGGAACACCCCAGAUCAACCGCUAAGGUCCCCAAGUUCACGUUAAGUGGAGAAGGAUGUGGAAUUGCACAGACAACCAGGAUGUUGGCUCAGAAGCAGCCACACAUUUAAAGAGUGCGUAAUAGCUCACUGGUCGAGUGAUUGUGCGCCGAAGAUGUCCGGGGCUAAACGUGACACCGAAGCGAUGGGUGCAUCUGAAAGGAUGCGCGGUAGAGGAGCAAUGUGCAGAGGCAGAAGCCGUAUCGAGAGGCACGGUGGACACUGCACAAGAGAGAAUGCCGGUAUGAGUAGCGAGAGGCAUGCGAGAAACAUGCCCGUCGAAAGCCCAAGGUUUCCUGGGGAAGGUUCAUCCGCCCAGGGUAAGUCGGGGCCUAAGCCGAGGACGGAAGUCGUAGGCGAUGGACAGCAGGUGUAGAUUCCUGCACUACCGAUGGAAUGAAGCAGUGACACAGAAGGAUAACUCGAGCAGGGUGAUGGUCAACCCUGUGCAAGCAUCAAGGUUGGGUUGUAGUGAAGUACGCAAUCCUAUAAGCUGAGAUGUGAUGCGGACCGAAAUUUCAGUAGGGAAGCGAGUGAGUUCACGCUGGCGAGAAAAGCUGCUAGUACAUCCAAAGGUACCCGUACCGGAAACCGACGCAGGUGGGCGAGGAGAGAAUCCUGAGACGAACGGGAGAACCCUUGUUAAGGAACUCGGCAAAAUGACCCCGUAACUUCGGGAUAAGGGGUGCCUGCGAGAGCAGGCCGCAGAGAAUAGUCACAAGCGACUGUUUAGCAAAAACACAGGUAUCUGCGAAAGCGAGAGCUGACGUAUAGGUGCUGACACCUGCCCGGUGCUGGAAGGUUAAGGGAACAUGUUAGAGCAAUCGAAGCAUCGAACCGAAGCCCCAGUAAACGGCGGCCGUAACUAUAACGGUCCUAAGGUAGCGAAAUUCCUUGUCGGGUAAGUUCCGACCCGCACGAAUGGUGUAACGACUUGUGAGCUGUCUCAACAGGGGGCCCGGUGAAAUUGAAGUAUGGGUGAAGAUGCCCAUUACCCGCGACUGGACGGAAAGACCCCGUAGAGCUUUACUGCAGCCUGAUAUUGAGUUUCGGUAACUGAUGCACAGGAUAGGUGGGAGUCUGAGAGACAUGGGUUUCGGCUCGUGUGGAGACGCUGUUGGGAUACCACUCUUCGGUUACUGAAAUUCUAACAUAGCUCUGUGAAACCAGAGGAUGGACAGUGUCAGGUGGACAGUUUGACUGGGGCGGUCGCCUCCGAAAGAGUAACGGAGGCGCCCAAAGGUACCCUCAGAAUGGAUGGAAACCAUUCGAAGAGCGCAAAGGCAGAAGGGUGCCUGACUGCGAGAUUGACAAAUCGAGCAGAGACGAAAGUCGGGCUUAGUGAUCCGGCGGUAUUGAGUGGAAAAGCCGUCGCUUAACGGAUAAAAGCUACCUCGGGGAUAACAGGCUGAUCUCCCCCAAGAGUCCACAUCGACGGGGAGGUUUGGCA
RNAcentral lists this ribosomal RNA (2486 nucleotides) under human gut metagenome. RNAcentral's name for it is "bacterial LSU rRNA". It matches the Rfam family "Bacterial large subunit ribosomal RNA", at positions 14 to 2523 of the family's 2925-position model. The record is from RNAcentral.